UACGUAGGGGGCAAGCGUUGUCCGGAUUUAUUGGGCGUAAAGAGCGUGUAGGCGGCCUGGUAGGUCAGCUGUGAAAACUCGAGGCUCAACCUCGAGACGCCGGUUGAAACCAUCUGGCUAGAGUCCGGAAGAGGAGAAUGGAAUUCCCGGUGUAGCGGUGAAAUGCGCAGAUAUCGGGAAGAACACCCGUGGCGAAGGCGGUUCUCUGGGACGGUACUGACGCUGAGACGCGAAAGCGUGGGGAGCGAACAGG
Molecule: ribosomal RNA, 253 nt
Filed under: uncultured bacterium
Lineage: Bacteria
Description: partial 16S ribosomal RNA
Rfam family: Bacterial small subunit ribosomal RNA
Source: RNAcentral